CACCGGUUCCCAUUCCGAACACACAGGUUAAGCCCUCCAGCGCCGAUGGUACUGGGGAGGUCCCCCGGGAGAGUAGGUCGCCGCCGAAA
This 89-nucleotide ribosomal RNA is filed under the name Thermosediminibacter litoriperuensis. The record is from RNAcentral. Lineage: Bacteria; Bacillati; Bacillota; Clostridia; Thermosediminibacterales; Thermosediminibacteraceae.